Pelobates cultripes (western spadefoot toad) is the source of this 510-nucleotide non-coding RNA. Lineage: Eukaryota; Metazoa; Chordata; Amphibia; Anura; Pelobatidae. The record is from the annotation of a GenBank genome assembly.
GAUAAAUAUAAAUAAACAAACUAAUAGAAAUCCAACUCCAACAGGAGUUAGAUAUCCAAAGAUUACCACCAAAGCCCGUGCAAACAUUUCUGGCGCCUUAGGCGAAAACAAAUUUGCCUCCUCAUUUGCUUCACGCAAUCACGCAGACUAACACACACACUGACUCAAGUAGACACACACUGACCAUGCAAACUGACACACACGUACUAAGCUAUGUAGACUGACGCUCACAGACUCAUAUACACACACUGAUCCAUGCAGACACACACAUACAGACACACUGACCCAUGCAGAAACACACACAUACAGACACACUGACCCAUACAGACACACACACAAUGACCCAUACAGACAGACACACUGACCUAUACAGAUUGCCAUAUAUAAACAUACUGACUGAAGCAGACCUACACACAUUCUCUGUCAUACCUUACCUUCAUUGCCUGAUUGAAGCGCCCAGCGCUGCCGCAAUACAUGUCUGGGAGGGGGUCCUGGCUGAGCGGGCUGUGG